This 45-nucleotide non-coding RNA is filed under the name Trichobilharzia regenti. Lineage: Eukaryota; Metazoa; Platyhelminthes; Trematoda; Strigeidida; Schistosomatidae. The record is from RNAcentral.
CUCUGUUGAUGAGUCCCAAAAUAGAACGAAACAGCUGUCUAGCAG